GAUCAUUAACGCGCUAGUGCCGGAGGCCGGCCCCCCAGGAUAUGGGCCAWAACGUCCGUCAGGGGUGAGCAGAUGUGCGCCGGCCGUACCGCCCCAUUYUUGUMUACACUUACUCGGUUGCCUCGGCGGGCCGCGCUCUCCCAGGAGAGCCGUUCGGCGAGCCUCUCUUUAUAGCGGCUCAACGCUGGACCGCGCCCGCCGGAGGACAGACGCMAAAAAAUAAUUCUUUCAGAAGAGCUGUCAGUCUGAGCGUUAGCAAUGCAAAAAUCAGUUAAAACUUUCAACAACGGAUCUCUUGGUUYCGGCAUCGAUGAAGUAACGCAGCGAAAUGCGAUAAGUAAUGUGAAUUGCAGAAUUCCGUGAAUCAUCGAAUCUUUGAACGCACAUUGCGCCCCCUGGCAUUCCGGGGGGCAUGCCUGUUCGAGCGUCAUUUCAGCCCCUCAAGCCCGGCUUGUGUGAUGGACGACCGUCCGGCGCCCCCGUCUCUGGGGGKGYGGGACGCGCCCGAANAGCAGUGGCCAGGCCGCGAUUCCNGCUGUCUAGGCGAAUGGGCAACAAACCAGCGCCUCCAGGACCAUGCCUGCCCUGGCACUCAAGAAUCNGUUCUUAUACUUAUCAGGUUGACCUCGGAUCAGG
RNAcentral lists this unclassified non-coding RNA (636 nucleotides) under Trichophyton tonsurans. RNAcentral describes it as "sequence contains 18S rRNA gene, ITS1, 5.8S rRNA gene, ITS2, 28S rRNA gene". The record is from RNAcentral. Lineage: Eukaryota; Fungi; Ascomycota; Eurotiomycetes; Onygenales; Arthrodermataceae.